Molecule: ribosomal RNA, 449 nt
Filed under: uncultured bacterium
Lineage: Bacteria
Description: partial 16S ribosomal RNA
Rfam family: Bacterial small subunit ribosomal RNA
Source: RNAcentral
AACGAACGCUGGCGGCAGGCCUAACACAUGCAAGUCGAACGAUGUAGCAAUACAUAGUGGUGCACGGGUGAGUAACGCGUGGGAAUGUACCAUUUGGUGGGGAAUAACUCCGGGAAACUGGAGCUAAUACCGCAUACGCCCUUCGGGGGAAAGAUUUAUCGCCAAAUGAUCAGCCCGCGUGAGAUUAGAUAGUUGGUGGGGUAAUGGCCUACCAAGUCUACGAUCUCUAGCUGGUCUCAGAGGAUGAUCAGCCACACUGGAACUGAGACACGGUCCAGACUCCUACGGGAGGCAGCAGUGGGGAAUAUUGGGCAAUGGGCGCAAGCCUGACCCAGCCAUGCCGCGUGAGUGAUGAAGGCUCUAGGGUUGUAAAGCUCUUUCGCCAAUGAAGAUAAUGACGGUAGUCGGAGAAGAAGCCCCGGCUAACUUCGUGCCAGCCGCCGCCGUAA